GAUGAACGCUGGCGGCGUGCUUAACACAUGCAAGUCGAACGAAGCGCUUGGAUGGAAUUCUUCGGAAGGAAGCUCAAGUGACUGAGUGGCGGACGGGUGAGUAACGCGUGGGUAACCUGCCUCAUACAGGGGGAUAACAGUUAGAAAUGACUGCUAAUACCGCAUAAGCACACGUGAUCGCAUGAUCGAGUGUGAAAAACUCCGGUGGUAUGAGAUGGACCCGCGUCUGAUUAGCUAGUUGGUGGGGUAAUGGCCCACCAAGGCGACGAUCAGUAGCCGGCCUGAGAGGGUGAACGGCCACAUUGGGACUGAGACACGGCCCAAACUCCUACGGGAGGCAGCAGUGGGGAAUAUUGCACAAUGGGGGAAACCCUGAUGCAGCGACGCCGCGUGAAGGAUGAAGUAUUUCGGUAUGUAAACUUCUAUCAGCAGGGAAGAAAAUGACGGUACCUGACUAAGAAGCCC
Molecule: ribosomal RNA, 465 nt
Filed under: uncultured bacterium
Lineage: Bacteria
Description: bacterial SSU rRNA
Rfam family: Bacterial small subunit ribosomal RNA
Source: RNAcentral